CCAAUCCUCAAUUUCUGAUCCAACGCCUCGAGCCUCCCGAAGACGCGACCCAACCUCGAUACCCCCGCCAUCCACCCACCGGCAUUCACUCCGCCGCCACCCGCCGGCAUUCACUCCGCCCGCAGCACACCAUGGUCGAGGUCGCCGCCUCCUCCUCUCCCCAACGCAUUCCCCUCCAAUCUCCCCCCUCUCCCCCUCCCAUCCUCUCUAGUCUAGUCCCACAGCGAGGAAUAGCUAGUCGGUGGGGCGGCUCGCCGGCCACCUGCAGCAGACGUAGCCAGCCACCAGCCGCGGCCCUCGCGGAUGCAGGCGUCCACGUUGUAGCGCCGGUCGCCCAUCUUGGGCCCCGCAUCACCGCCGGCGAGCGCGUCCGAGUGCCCCGGGUGUCUGCAUCUCCCGCUGACCCUCCUCCUCCGCCCUUUUCUCCAUCUCGGAUGGAUUGCAGCAGCUGCAGGGGCAGCCUCCUCCGAUGGCAGAAGGGGAUGAGGGGGGCGACCUGGACAUCCUCGAGAUCGCCCAGCCCCAACUAGACGGAGGCGCCCUCCAUGACGCCGCCCCGCAAAAGGUCUGUUUCAUUGAUCGGACAUAUUCUUGAGCACCUAUGUGAGAGAGAUUGAACAGGAGACGCUGUGCAUCUUGCCGUGAAGUGGCGACCACAGUGGCGCUCUUGUUGGCGCCGAAGUCGGACAGUGACCAACUUCACCGCAACGCCAUGUGCACUCCUUCUCGGUCCUCCCUGCCCUCGGACCAAGAGCUGAGAGGCAUUUGGAGCAUUGCUGCCCUGACCUAGCUGACGAACCAAGGCUGCUAGCAGCUGCUACUACUGCAUGUCUUCGUUUAGUUUGUUCUGCCAUAGUGAGACAGAGAGAGGAGAUGUGUGCCUCACUGGAAGGUGACAACCAUGUACAACACAACUCUUGCCAACGAACAGUGACACCUCCACGCUAUGUUCCC
Lolium perenne is the source of this 954-nucleotide long non-coding RNA. RefSeq lists it as uncharacterized. The record is from RefSeq and is a predicted model, not a curated record. NCBI's taxonomy places the organism in Eukaryota, Viridiplantae, Streptophyta, Magnoliopsida, Poales, Poaceae.